CUACUCUACAGGCUAUACUCCUAUACUCUGAUACUCUACAGCCUCAGGUAUUGCAUAGAAAUUGUUGUGUAACCGGUAGGUCGACAUUUAGAACAUUAUAAAUUUAUGUUCCGGGUUGUUCAAAUACCUUUGCUAAAACUAUUAUCUGAACCAUAAAAGGAUUGUUUUCUUAUUCUGUAUUCAAGUUUCUGUUUAAACCUUUAAACAUGUUUUGGCUUUUUGUGAUUUCUACUUUCAUUUCAUUUUCAUUUGACAUACUUUCACUUUGACAGGAAG
This 276-nucleotide long non-coding RNA is filed under the name Mytilus galloprovincialis (Mediterranean mussel). Lineage: Eukaryota; Metazoa; Mollusca; Bivalvia; Mytilida; Mytilidae. The record is from RNAcentral.